This 513-nucleotide ribosomal RNA is filed under the name uncultured bacterium. RNAcentral describes it as "bacterial SSU rRNA". It matches the Rfam family "Bacterial small subunit ribosomal RNA", at positions 28 to 535 of the family's 1533-position model. The record is from RNAcentral.
GACGAACGCUGGCGGCGUGCCUAACACAUGCAAGUCGAGCGGAGUCGAUCGACGGAAGCCUUCGGGCGGAAGAUGGUUGACUUAGCGGCGGAUGGGUGAGUAACGCGUGGGCAACCUGCCUCGAAGACCGGGAUAACAGACCGAAAGGGCUGCUAAUACCGGAUGUGGUCAAGGAUCCGCAUGGAUCUUUGAUUAAAAGGGGGAAACCCGUUUCGAAAUGGGCCCGCGUCCUAUCAGCUAGUUGGUGAGGUAAAAGCUCACCAAGGCGACGACGGGUAGCCGGCCUGAGAGGGUGACCGGCCACACUGGAACUGAGACACGGUCCAGACUCCUACGGGGGCAGCAGUGGGGAAUCUUCCACAAUGGGCGAAAGCCUGAUGGAGCGACGCCGCGUGAGCGAAGAAGGCCUUCGGGUUGUAAAGACUCUGUCUGGAGGGACGAAGGAAGUGACGGUACCUCCGGAGGAAGCCACGGCUAACUACGUGCCAGCAGCCGCGGUAAAAUACACGUGUA